This 1121-nucleotide long non-coding RNA is filed under the name Felis catus (domestic cat). RNAcentral describes it as "lncRNA (ENSFCAG00000047294.1)". The record is from RNAcentral. Lineage: Eukaryota; Metazoa; Chordata; Mammalia; Carnivora; Felidae.
AAUACGAGUUUUUGAAAAGUUUUAAAGGCAGGUGAAAGACUUCUCUUUCAAAAUCUGUGUUUGCCAAUACCCACUCAGCAGCGAGCUCCGAAGGCCGGGGAAUGCCCCUUCGGCCGGUGAGCAGUGCUGCUGCAAACAGCUGUUCAUUAUCACAGCGCCACAGCAUCGUCAAGUGUCUGCAGUAUUAAAGUAAAUCCUUGCCUCUCUGACCCCUGCCAGAUCCAGUCAUCCAAGAGAUGGCUCCUGAGAUACAUCUCAACAAGCUGCGUGAAAAACACGAACUUGAUAGUCCAGCUGUUACCAAAUGGGAAACUUCCUAUUAUUCCAAGAAAAACCAGACUCUGCAAUCUCUGCAAUAAAUAUUGGAGUAAUGUAACCCAUCGGGAGGCCUGGAGAGACUGCAAUACCUUGGGAAUAUGCUGUCAGACGGAGCUUCUGUGAGCUGUGGCAGACUGGGACUCCCUCUGGUCAAGACCCCACUCAGCCUACACUCAAUGGACUGGAAUGCAUACAGAGGUAGUGAGUCUACUCAAUUCUGGAAUGACAAUCCUGCAAGAAACAUUAAGAAAUCAUGCACUGCACCCUCAGCUCUCCUCAAGACCAUGGUAGAGACUGGUACCAUUCCAGAGUUUGGUGAUGAGGGUGAUGGUUGAAGAAUUAAUAUGAACCCCUCUCGAUAAGUCCUGCAACUGUCUUCAGGAUGUGGGGGUAUAGUUCUACUAUUCUCAGCAUUAGACUUCAGUGAAAUUUCAAGGUAAAUAUCAUUCAACAUCAUUUUAUAUUAUAUUUAAGUUUCAGAGAGGUUCUAUGAAAUAUUAUAAUGAGAAAGAUUUAACUUAUAUUAUGAGGCCAGCAAAAUUGUUUCUGGAAAUUUGUAAGAUUUGUAAAAUUUGAUCUGAGAAGGGAAAGGUGAUCUGGAGUUAUCUGCAGGAGAAUGGGGAGAGAAAAUAACUUCACAGGUCCAUUGUGAUGUGAGAGAAGAUGAUAUUGGUUAUAUUUUAUAAAGACAUCUCAGGUAGUCCAAUGGAGAAGAAAUUUAAGCAGUAUGUAUAAGUGGGAGGCUUUUUCAAUCAUCCAGACUAGAGGUAUAAGAGUAUUGGUGCAAUGGAGAUGAAGACAAC